GGUCAGAGGAGUGGGGCACAGUUCGGCGACCUGGGGAAACAUGUCCGCCUGCGAACUGAAAAGCGGAAGGUCGGCGGUUCGAUCCCGCCCCUGGCCA
This 97-nucleotide transfer RNA is filed under the name Mycobacterium marinum. RNAcentral describes it as "tRNA-OTHER". The record is from RNAcentral. Lineage: Bacteria; Bacillati; Actinomycetota; Actinomycetes; Mycobacteriales; Mycobacteriaceae.